RNAcentral lists this ribosomal RNA (597 nucleotides) under Mariorajchenbergia subcavernulosa. RNAcentral's name for it is "Cerioporus subcavernulosus partial 28S ribosomal RNA". It matches the Rfam family "Eukaryotic large subunit ribosomal RNA", at positions 66 to 648 of the family's 3401-position model. The record is from RNAcentral. Lineage: Eukaryota; Fungi; Basidiomycota; Agaricomycetes; Polyporales; Polyporaceae.
UAACAAGGAUUCCCCUAGUAACUGCGAGUGAAGCGGGAAGAGCUCAAAUUUAAAAUCUGGCGGUGUUGGCCGUCCGAGUUGUAGUCUGGAGAAGUGCUUUCCGCGCUGGACCGUGUACAAGUCUCUUGGAACAGAGCGUCAUAGAGGGUGAGAAUCCCGUCUUUGACACGGACUACCAGUGCUUUGUGAUGCGCUCUCAAAGAGUCGAGUUGUUUGGGAAUGCAGCUCAAAAUGGGUGGUAAAUUCCAUCUAAAGCUAAAUAUUGGCGAGAGACCGAUAGCGAACAAGUACCGUGAGGGAAAGAUGAAAAGCACUUUGGAAAGAGAGUUAAACAGUACGUGAAAUUGCUGAAAGGGAAACGCUUGAAGUCAGUCGCGUUGUUUGGAACUCAGCCUUGCUUUUGCUUGGUGCACUUUCUGAAUGACGGGCCAGCAUCGAUUUUGAUUGUCGGAUAAGGGUUGGGGGAAUGUGGCACCUUCGGGUGUGUUAUAGCCCUCAGUCGCAUACGGCGGUUGGGAUCGAGGUUCGCAGCGCGCCGCAAGGCAGGGGUUUACCCACUUUCGCGCUUAGGAUGCUGGCAUAAUGGCUUUAAACGAC